GGGAGCCCGCGCUCCAAAGCCCGGUGGGGGGAGGGGCGCUCACGCAACCGCCACUGUCUGGAGCGGGCUCGCCUCUGCGGCGGCACUCACCGCCCGGGCUUUACUGAAGCGGAGUCUAGCAUGUGCGGCUGCUCCACAGCGGUGUGGGUGGCGGCGGCUCCUCUGCAGCAGCCUCGGCAGUAGGGGUCACGGUGGCCAAGCCCACCGUGGAGCUCAUCUGAGAGUUGUAAGGUACGGGACUGCCUCGGUCUUUGGGACGCCCCGUCUGGUAGCAUCCCAGAUCCAGCACGUUCCUUCCGGCCCUGCACCCCGGCCCGGUGCCUCACACCCCGCUACCCCAUGCAUCCAGACUCUAAGGCAGCCCCUGCAUCUCAGUCCUGACAUCGCUGUCCCUGGAGCAUCCUCCGCUGGAGCUGGAGCUUGACAGCUUACAGAGUCAAGUCCCUGGGAACUUCAGGAAGCAGCCCACCAUGUUUCAACCACUUACUAUGUGCCAUUUCCUGUGUUCAGAGCCUUACACAGGUUAUCUCUAGACCUGACAACAACCCAAGCAAGGCAAGGACUAUUCUCUCGGUCUGCAGACGCUGGCUCAGAUAGCUGGAGCAACUUCCCAAGGUCCCACAGCCAGUAAGGAAAGACCCAGACCUCCCAAGCUCCCUUCCUUUAUUGGCUGCCUGUGGACUACCAGGGCUUCAGUCCUUACAAUGUCAGUAAAACAGCCUUGCUGGGCCUCAACAAGACCUUGGCCAUAGAGCUGGCCCCAAGGAACAUUAGGGUGAACUGCCUAGCACCUGGACUUAUCAAGACUAGCUUCAGCAGGAUGCUCUGGAUGGACAAGGAAAAAGAGGAAAGCAUGAAAGAAACCCUGCGGAUAAGAAGGUUAGGCGAGCCAGAGGAUUCUCUUGGCAUCGUGUCUUUCCUGUGCUCUGAAGAUGCCAGCUACCUCACUGGGGAAACAGUGAUGGUGGGUGGAGGAACCCCGUCCCGCCUCUGAGGACCCGGAGACAGCCCACAGGCCAGAGUUGGGCUCUAGCUCCUGGUGCUGUUCCUGCAUUCACCCACUGGCCUUUCCCACCUCUGCUCACCUUACUGUUCACCUCAUCAAAUCAGUUCUGCCCUGUGAAAAGAUCCAGCCUUCCCUGCCGUCAAGGUGGUGUCUUACUCGGGAUUCCUGCUGUUGUUGUGGCCUUGGGUAAAGGCCUCCCCUGAGAACACAGGACAGGCCUGCUGACAAGGCUGAGUCUACCUUGGCAAAGACCAAGA
Molecule: long non-coding RNA, 1263 nt
Filed under: Homo sapiens (human)
Lineage: Eukaryota; Metazoa; Chordata; Mammalia; Primates; Hominidae
Description: LHRI_LNC2052.37
Source: RNAcentral